This 848-nucleotide ribosomal RNA is filed under the name uncultured bacterium. Its description in RNAcentral is "bacterial SSU rRNA". It matches the Rfam family "Bacterial small subunit ribosomal RNA", at positions 8 to 851 of the family's 1533-position model. The record is from RNAcentral.
AGAGUUUGAUCCUGGCUCAGGAUGAACGCUGGCGGCGUGCCUAACACAUGCAAGUCGAACGGAGUUCUUAAGGAAUGCGACUUCGGUCAAAUGACUUUUGAACUUAGUGGCGGACGGGUGAGUAACGCGUGAGCAACCUGCCUUUCAGAGGGGGAUAACAUUUGGAAACAGAUGCUAAUACCGCAUAAGAUUACAGUACCGCAUGAUACAGUGAUCAAAGGAGCAAUCCGCUGAAAGAUGGGCUCGCGUCCGAUUAGAUAGUUGGUGAGGUAACGGCUCACCAAGUCGACGAUCGGUAGCCGGACUGAGAGGUUGAACGGCCACAUUGGGACUGAGACACGGCCCAGACUCCUACGGGAGGCAGCAGUGGGGAAUAUUGCACAAUGGGCGAAAGCCUGAUGCAGCAACGCCGCGUGAGGGAAGACGGUUUUCGGAUUGUAAACCUCUGUUUUCGGUGACGAACAAAUGACGGUAACCGAGUAGGAAGCCACGGCUAACUACGUGCCAGCAGCCGCGGUAAUACGUAGGUGGCAAGCGUUAUCCGGAAUUACUGGGUGUAAAGGGAGCGCAGGCGGGAUAGCAAGUCAGUUGUGAAAACUAUGGGCUCAACCCAUAAACUGCAGUUGAAACUGUUAUUCUUGAGUGGAGUAGAGGCAAGCGGAAUUCCGAGUGUAGCGGUGAAAUGCGUAGAUAUUCGGAGGAACACCAGUGGCGAAGGCGGCUUGCUGGGCUCUAACUGACGCUGAGGCUCGAAAGUGUGGGGAGCAAACAGGAUUAGAUACCCUGGUAGUCCACACUGUAAACGAUGAUUGCUAGGUGGGGGGGGUCUGACCCCCUCCGUGCCGGAG